GUGUCGUAUGAAAGGAAAAAAGGUUAGCACUCCCCUUGACAAAGAUGGAAGAGGCCCUCGGGCCUUACAGCACGCCUAUGGUUAAGGCAUUGCUACCUACUUUGUAGCAUCUAACAAUGAUUUUUC
Molecule: small nuclear RNA, 126 nt
Organism: Loxodonta africana (African savanna elephant)
Lineage: Eukaryota; Metazoa; Chordata; Mammalia; Proboscidea; Elephantidae
Source: Ensembl